This 200-nucleotide unclassified non-coding RNA is filed under the name soil metagenome. RNAcentral describes it as "partial contains internal transcribed spacer 2 and large subunit ribosomal RNA". The record is from RNAcentral.
GCUUUUCUGAUGGAUCAUGGCUCAGUAACACUAAUAUGAUAAUUAAUUUAUAUUAGAUGUGAAAGCUGUGAGUAGAGUGACUUCAAUUAUGGAGAAGCUCCUAUAGAAAAGGAUGUGUCUUGGGGGAUAAAUAAACCCUUGACUUGAAAUAUAAUGACAAAUCUGACCUCAAAUCAGGUAGGACUACCCGCUGAACUUAA